GCGGGGGUCCCCUAGUCCGGUCAAUGGGGCAAGGUUGAGGGCCUUGUUGCUUAGUGCAUUCGCAAGUUCAAAUCUUGCCCCCCGCA
Molecule: transfer RNA, 86 nt
Filed under: Candidatus Naiadarchaeum limnaeum
Lineage: Archaea; Nanobdellati; Candidatus Undinarchaeota; Candidatus Undinarchaeia; Candidatus Naiadarchaeales; Candidatus Naiadarchaeaceae
Description: tRNA-Leu
Rfam family: tRNA
About the family: Transfer RNA (tRNA) molecules are approximately 80 nucleotides in length. Their secondary structure includes four short double-helical elements and three loops (D, anti-codon, and T loops). Further hydrogen bonds mediate the characteristic L-shaped molecular structure. tRNAs have two regions of fundamental functional importance: the anti-codon, which is responsible for specific mRNA codon recognition, and the 3' end, to which the tRNAs corresponding amino acid is attached (by aminoacyl-tRNA synthetases). tRNAs cope with the degeneracy of the genetic code in two manners: having more than one tRNA (with a specific anti-codon) for a particular amino acid; and 'wobble' base-pairing, i.e. permitting non-standard base-pairing at the 3rd anti-codon position.
Source: RNAcentral